UAGGGAAUCUUCGGCAAUGGACGAAAGUCUGACCUAGCAACGCCGCGUGAGUGAAGAAGGUUUUCGGAUCGUAAAACUCUGUUGUUAGAGAAGAACAAGGACGUUAGUAACUGAACGUCCCCUGACGGUAUCUAACCAGAAAGCCACGGCUAACUACGUGCCAGCAGCCGCGGUAAUACGUAGGUGGCAAGCGUUGUCCGGAUUUAUUGGGCGUAAAGCGAGCGCAGGCGGUUUCUUAAGUCUGAUGUGAAAGCCCCCGGCUCAACCGGGGAGGGUCAUUGGAAACUGGGAGACUUGAGUGCAGAAGAGGAGAGUGGAAUUCCAUGUGUAGCGGUGAAAUGCGUAGAUAUAUGGAGGAACACCAGUGGCGAAGGCGGCUCUCUGGUCUGUAACUGACGCUGAGGCUCGAAAGCGUGGGGAGCAAACAGG
This 429-nucleotide ribosomal RNA is filed under the name Gemmatimonadota bacterium. RNAcentral describes it as "Gemmatimonadetes bacterium partial 16S ribosomal RNA". It matches the Rfam family "Bacterial small subunit ribosomal RNA", at positions 355 to 776 of the family's 1533-position model. The record is from RNAcentral. Lineage: Bacteria; Pseudomonadati; Gemmatimonadota.